RNAcentral lists this non-coding RNA (186 nucleotides) under Bdellovibrionales bacterium. Its description in RNAcentral is "6S RNA". It matches the Rfam family "6S / SsrS RNA". From Rfam's summary of the family: E. coli 6S RNA was the first non coding RNA to be sequenced, but its function was unknown until recently. It consists of 184 nucleotides that fold into an extended hairpin structure with a large single-stranded internal bulge. Lineage: Bacteria; Pseudomonadati; Bdellovibrionota; Bdellovibrionia; Bdellovibrionales. The record is from RNAcentral.
CACUCUCUGCGAAAUACGUGAGGUGGUAUUCGUUUUUAUUCCUUAUAACGUGUUUUAAUGGGAGUCGUACUCUGACUGUGGAAAGCAUGCUUGCACGUGAUGCAAGAAGCAUAGAAGCAGCCAUCACGACGCCCCCUUGUUUUUAACGAGGAUAAAACAGACCCCCACGGUUAGUGUGGAGAGUGC